AUUUGGCUUCCUGAGAGUCUGGCAGGAGCUGUAAGAGCAGUGGCCAGGGCACUCUGUGCUAAGAAUUGCUGAAAGGGAUGAUAAUCACUUGGAACAUCAGUGAUGUCAAGGAUGGCAGUAUGGUUGUUGGGAACAAAUUCCACUCCUGCAAAGGUAAAAGCUGUAGUUGCCAUUAGAACAGAGUUUGUGAAUGAAGGUGUUUGAGAAG
RNAcentral lists this long non-coding RNA (208 nucleotides) under Daucus carota (carrot). Its description in RNAcentral is "long non-coding RNA (DCAR_LNC007547)". The record is from RNAcentral. Lineage: Eukaryota; Viridiplantae; Streptophyta; Magnoliopsida; Apiales; Apiaceae.